GUAUAUAAAGAGCAGCACCUAGCUUUCUCAGUACCCUGGUGGAUGGGUUGGGUCUUGCUUGCUGAGAUAUUUAGUGUAAAAGGAGUUUUUGUUUUUGUUAUUAAAACCUUGAUAAAGUUAUUUUUGAGUUCCUUGUAAUGCGUGGUCUCCCCAGCAAGCUUUCUGCAGCGCAACUAAACUGCAAAUAGCCAACAGGCAACCCCCUGUUUUAGGGGCUACUGAUAUGUGCACAAUAGCUCACAGCACCGAUCCCGGAAGUAACCUGGAAAUGUCAUAAAAGGUGUUUCUAAAAGGGCAAAGCAGGGGAGGGAUGGGCUGGCACGGGGUGCUUUCAGACUGUUUCAGUUGCAUGCGAUUUCACACAGGCUCGCAAUGACCCGGAAUGCAACCUGCAAGCAAAUCUGGGGUUGCCUGUAUAUUAGGCAUAACUGGGCAUACCACAAAAUAUAUGUAUCAGCAGAAAUCCACAUUCUCAGUGGUACUCACUUUCAAGUAGAUUUUUGCAGGACCAAUGCAAUGAACGUACUUAUGCAUGAGCAAACCCUUCUGAGCUCUGAGACACCAGCUUCUUGGUGCUUAGGAUUGCAGUCUGAAUUAAAGGUACAAACGACACAGGAGAUGAAUAAAAAUGAAGGCUCAGUGGUUUCCCCGAGGCAUCUGGUAUCUGGGCAGGCGGCCGGUCCCUUUCCUAAGGUGCAGGGUAGAGGACCAAAGAUCUGAUUCUCGCUCUGUCGCUUGCGGUUGCUUUUAGACAGAAUGCACUGUCAGAAGACCCUGGCAAAGUCUUAAUGCACAUGGACCUAUCUGAAUUGCCAGCAGGGCACUGAAGGUCUCAAGGAGGAGGACGAGGAAUCUUGCCAACUUUCUUACGGUUUACGAAAGCGCCCUCAGCUCGUCAAUUGGUGCUGGCUCUCUCAAGGCCGCCAGGUGAGUGGCUUGAUCUCUGAAGGUUUUGUGAUUUACGGAUACUGGGUUGUGCUGGGCAAAGGACAGGACAGGUAGCCGUGUUGGCUCAAGAAAAACGCCAGAUCCAUCGUCAGGCAAGGCUUUAAUUAGACCUGCCAAAUGUCACAUAAUAACAUUUCAACACUGUUUUUAACACUUUUCCGAGCUCUUAAGGCUAGAACUCGUGGACUUCCAGAAACGCUGAAUGUUGGAAGGUUUGGGAUCAGGGCCAGAUUUAGGUUUGAUGAGAUCCUAAGCUACUGAAGGUCAUGGGGCCCUUUAUAUGUCCAGCUGUCCUUUGCCAACAACAAAUUGUCCCUGUUUCUUGUGUUGAAUAUAUGCUAUAUGGUAAUUUAUGGACCUCAUAGGUAUCUCAAGCCAUUUGCACAUGUUGCCCUGCAACCAGUCCAUGCAGAAUGUAGGCACCCUAUAUAUUGUUGUUGUUUAGUCGUUUAGUUGUGUUCACCUCUUCGUGACCCCCUGGACCAGAGCACACCAGGCACUCCUGUCUUCCACUGCCUCCCGCAGUUUGGUCAAACUCAUGCUGGGAGCUUUGAGAACACUGUCCCACCAUCUCGUCCUCUGUCGUCCCCUUCUCCUUGUGCCCUCCAUCUUUCCCAACAUCAGGGUCUUCUCCUGGGAGUCUUCUCUUCUCCUGAGGUGGCCAAAGUCUUGGAGCCUCAGCUUCAGGAUCUGUCCUUCCAGUGAGCACCCUACAUAUAGAAAGGAGCAAACCAGUGAUAUUUGAGGGAGCAGGCUAGCAGGCGGGGCCCAUGACUCACAUCAUAGGAGCCAACACAACACAAAACACUGUUUCUGCAUGUAGGUUUUAUUUUAUUUGUUUUUUAUAUUUUGGAAAUGUACAUUCAGUUUUUCCCCCCUUUAGUUUUUUUGGGGGCCCCUAAGAGAGUGGGGCCCUAAGCUAGAGCUUGUUUAGCUUAUACGUAAAUCUGGCACUGCUCAGUACAGAUGAAAGGAGGGACGCCUUCACGCAGCGCCUAACUCCCUCCCACAGGAGUCUGAGAUGGCCACCCACCCAUGGAAUCGUAGAAUUGUACAGUUGGAAGGGAUCCUGAGGGUCAUCUAGCCCAACCCCCCUGCAAUGCAGGAAUAAGAGGAUUGGACAAAUCCAUGGGGCAGGAGAGGGCUAUCAAUGGUUACUACAGUCAGGGCCAUCUUAAGCAUAUUCAGUGCCGUGGUGAAAGAUUCUUCCAGCGCCCCCCCCCGGAAGCUCCAAAACAAGGGAGGGGCAGUAGAAAAUGUCCUCUGCCUUUCCCAACACCCUGAUCCAUGGCAUGGCGAUCCAGCAGGAGAACGUGCUGGCAGACAUGCUCUACGGCAUCAGGGCUCCUGAGAAGGCCGGCUGGGAAGGCUGCACACUGCCUUUUGCUAGGAAGCAGAAGGAGGACAACGACCUCUGCGUGGAUUGCUCUCCUCCUGUAAAGGCUUGGGAAGGAAGCUGCAAGCCCGCCUGCCUGCCAUAUAGAAGAAGAAGAAGAAGAGGAGUUUGGAUUUGAUAUCCCGCCUUUCACUCCCUUUAAGGAGUCUCAAAGCGGCUAACAUUCUCCUUUCCCUUCCUCCCCCACAACAAACACUCUGUGAGGUGAGUGGGGCUGAGAGACUUCAAAGAAGUGUGACUGGCCCAAGGUCACCCAGCAGCUGCAUGUGGAGGAGCGGAGACGCGAACCCGGUUCCCCAGAUUACGAGACUACCGCUCUUAACCACUACACCAUACUGGCUCUCAGUUGGCGGGGCACAGCUGGUGGGCGUUCAGGGAAAGGGGAGGCCUCCGGCAAAGCCGCGCAGCUCCCUCACUCGCUGGGGCGCCCCUGAGAGGCCGGCGCCCUGGCGCAACGAACCAUUAACACCAAUGGCAAAGACGGCUUUGACCACAGUUGCAGGCACUGUGGGAAUAGGAUGCUGGAUGAGAUUCCUGCAUUUCGGGGGUGGACUGGAUGACCUUUGGGGGUCCCUUUCAACUCUGAUUCUAUGACUAGAUGGGCCAUGGGCCUGAUCCAGAGGGCUCUUCUUAUGUUUUCGACGUUGAAACAAGUGGGAAGACAGUAGGAGGAAACAAAUGUGGUUGAUAUUGUAGCCGCAGAGUUUUCAUUCCGUCUCAGGGUAUGUGGGAGGUGGUAGCAGAUGAUGAGAUUAAGUUGCACCAUGGGGGUGCCAGGGAGCCUCUGGGCUGCAACACAGGCUUGCUGGGACAAAGAAAAUGACAGAGGUCGAUCACUUUUGAAACUAUAACACCUAGCUGUCCCUUGGAUCUUAGGCAGAAGGCACAGGUCAUCUGGAAGAUUGAGAACAGAAGCAAAAGUGAAACUAGACAACAUUUAUAGUAACAAAGCUGGAAAUGAAUUUUAGACCGCAUACUAGGGCGACCGCAUACUGGGCAAUAUGGCCAGUCUUCAAUAUGGCGUUAUAUCAGCAGCCAAACAUUGCAAUACAUUAGUCCUUGCAGUUACGUAAACUUCAGGAUACGAAAGUGGCAAACCUGGAAGUAUUUGACUGAGUUUCUCCCCGCGCACAUGCGUAGAAGCGGUCCUCAGGCUGUAGAAACCUCAGGAUCCGACCAAACCUCCAGAACGGAUCCCAUCCGCAACUGGAGGUACUACUGUAUAUUGAUAUACCAUGAUAUCCGAAAUAAGGAAGGAACUAUGCAGAGGUGAACAGGCAAACGUCCUGGCAACUGCUACUAAACCGGAUGAAUGACAGUAUUAUCAAUCAUCACACACUCAGUUUCAUCAGCAGGGAAGCCAGAAUGCAUCCCAACAGGACUUUUGGUUUUGGACUUGGCUAUCAAACGGUGAUAUUUGGAUUCAUCAGGUUCAUGCAGGCAAUGAAGAGCACAUCCUUCCACCAUGGUUAGCUGAUUUCUGAUUUCCACUUUUUAUAUGGUUCAUAUUUUUAGGUAUGGUUAUUCUGAGCCACUUUGAUUUUUUCCUUUUUGAUGAAUUAGCAGUAUAUGAAUAUUUUUCUAUAAAUAAGACUGAUAAAGUGGGAAACUUAAAUGGACAGAUUAGCCCAUCGCUCACUUGUCGUUCAGAUUAUGCCUGCAAAUCUAUGUAUCCUUUCAUAGCCUUGGAUGCUGGGUAGGGAUGGGAGCAGUUUGGUUCAGUUGGCAUUUCAGGGUGAAUCUUUAAAUUCGGUGCUUUCCAAAGCAACAGGCAAUCCAAAACUUGGCUGCCUUUCAAAAUUUGCACAUAUUGGAAUUCUGCCAUGCAAAAUGCAUGUAUUAGGGGAAAACUGAGCUUAGCAAGAGCUAUUUUAGUGCAAAUAACACCUGGAAACGUUUGUGUUUAUGUCAUGAAAUUUAUAUGCUGCUUGAAUGUGGAAAAGCAAGAAAACCCUCAAAGUAGUUGAAACGCAUUACAUUUGGGGAAAUUCCUUGCAAAAAUAUGCACAUUGGUCAAAACUGCGUGCAAGGAUGUGCUCAUUAGGAGAAAUUUGCCCUGAAAUGCUGCUGAAAUUUCCAUGAGGGUUUUCUCUCGCUAAAGAAAUUGCAGAUUGUUGCAGCGGGGUGGAGAACUGAAUUUAAUGUUGGAAACAUGGCAGACUGAGGGAGCCGUGAUGGACGAGCCCUUUCCUUCCUUGUACGGAAUGGCCCUCUGCAUUUUUCUGGGGCCUUAAUACGACUCUGACUCACAGGCUCCAGUGGAUGGCUACCUUGAGCUGGCCUGGCUUGUCCUCGGCUCCUGAAUGCUCCCAGAACUACCUAGGCAGGGCAUGGGAAAAAGCACCACACGAUCCCCGCAGUGCCAACACGCUCCUCUCCAAAUGGUCCACACCCUUCCGAUUGCUGCAGACAGUUUUCCCCCUCCUUACCCGUUUGCUUUCCUGACAGCCGUGUGAAUUUCUUCAAUGCAAAUCCUCUGGCGGGAUGUUCUGUGCUCUGCCUUUUGGCGCUUGUCCCUGUUGGAUUCUCUGUUGAUUUAUGGAUUCCGUUUGUCGGAGAGCAGAAAUCGGAAGGCCGUUCCUCCCCCUCGUGGCGGGAGAAGCAUCCUUGCUGUACCCAGACCUUCCUAGAGAAGUUUUCUGUUCUGAACGCCUCAUCUUUCCUUCUGAAUGUGACUGUUGACCCAACUUGGUGCCUCAACUCUUCAGCUGUGGCUCGCGAUCUACAAGCAAGUAACUAGAACCGUGGGCUCCCAUUGAAGCUGAAUUUUGGAAGAUUCAGGACAGACAGAAUGAAAGGUCUUCUUCACGCAGCAGGAGGCAAUGUUGGCCACCAACCUAGAUGGUUUAAAAAGCUUUUCACAGAGGUGUGGUUCCUUGGACAUGACACUGUAUAGCUUCCUGGCCAACAGCACAGAGUGAAAGCUCAUUAAAUAACCGAGAUCAUCCAAUCCCUCAGCAAACAAUUUAGGAGGAAGGCUUGACAAAUAGGUCAUUGGGAAGCACCUCUCAGAUCUCACGAAAAUGAUUGACCCAUGCCUGGGUUAUAGUGCUUUAGGCCAUUUGAGAAGUCCCACCCAAGGAGGGGGGGAAAUGUGGAUGUAGAAAACCAAGAUGUCAGGGACAGCUUCCCCCCUGAGUUGCUGACUUUCUGCAUGCAAGGAAUUUUUUAUUUGUGGGAUGGAGCAUUGGUUUGAACUAGUUCACACCCUGUUUUAGUGACGACCCAACUGCUUAGAACUCCUUGUUCACACUCAGCGCCCGGCCAGAGGACAGACAACUUGACGGAGAACAGCAGACGAUAAAGAGUUUUCCAAACAUGGGCAUGAGAAAGAAGAAUGUUGCAAGCGUUUCAUAUUAAAGGAAUUGUGGGCGAAAUCUG
Molecule: long non-coding RNA, 5725 nt
Filed under: Podarcis lilfordi (Lilford's wall lizard)
Lineage: Eukaryota; Metazoa; Chordata; Lepidosauria; Squamata; Lacertidae
Source: RNAcentral